This 83-nucleotide transfer RNA is filed under the name Pseudomonas sp. FW305-BF6. RNAcentral describes it as "tRNA-Leu". RNAcentral also lists the same sequence under 1 other name. The record is from RNAcentral. Lineage: Bacteria; Pseudomonadati; Pseudomonadota; Gammaproteobacteria; Pseudomonadales; Pseudomonadaceae.
GCAUGAUUUAAAAGGAAAAAAAUCUGGACUUAAAAUCCCCCGCUCGUAAGGGCGUGCCGGUUCGAUUCCGGCUUCGGGCACCA